This 299-nucleotide long non-coding RNA is filed under the name Salvia miltiorrhiza (redroot sage). RNAcentral's name for it is "long non-coding RNA (SMIL_LNC013508)". The record is from RNAcentral. Lineage: Eukaryota; Viridiplantae; Streptophyta; Magnoliopsida; Lamiales; Lamiaceae.
GGGGAAAUAGUUUGAUUUCUGAGCUCGAUUUGGGGCGAAGGAGCAGCAACCCAAUUUCUGCAAUUUCGCCUAAAUUUCUGCAAAUCGCCCAAUUUCUGAAAAUUUAUGUUCAUUUAAGAUCUGGUGAGGUAAGGGCGGCCAUGUAGGUGGGGGACGUCGGCGGCGAGAUUCGAGAUCAAUUCGUCGAACUUGCUCCUUGCCGACUGCAAAUUUCAUUAAUUUCUUGCAAAUUUCUUCUCUCUUUUCUUGUUGUUGUUCGUCCAGUUCAUGUUUUAAUUGCUUGAAAAUUUGUUGCUUUU